Apis mellifera (honey bee) is the source of this 1749-nucleotide long non-coding RNA. RefSeq lists it as uncharacterized. The transcript has 3 exons. Lineage: Eukaryota; Metazoa; Arthropoda; Insecta; Hymenoptera; Apidae. The record is from RefSeq and is a predicted model, not a curated record.
GAAAGAGAGAGAGAUACUUAUUUCGAGCAUCGUUAUUAAUAACCUCGAAACACCAUGCGAAAGCAUCCAUUCCCAGACGCUCUUCAAACAUGCAUUACACGGCGUGAAGCAGCGUAGUAACGAGAGGCGUCAGACCGAGAGAAUGGUUUAUUUAAGCUGUGCACAAAUUGCACGUGUGUAUCCUCGAGGCUUUUUAUCCGGUGAAUGAGGAUGACGUAAAGGCCGGAGGGACAAAGGAGUGCACGAGUGGUAAAGAAGAGUCGUGGCCGCGAAUAGGGAGUUUUGCAAGGUGAAGUGUCGCUCUGGAAGUGUCAUGGCGCGCUGGUCGAUAGAAUGCAACGUUUCCGCGCGCUCGCUCUUCUCAGUUCUGUCCGUUUUCCAGACCUUUAUAAACAGAGACGAGGACUUGGGGCCUUCUUUUCUUUCAAGUUUUCCUGUAUUCGUGCUAUUUUAUCAUUUCUACGGAAGUUGGAUUCUUCGCUUGUCCCAGGCUCGAAUUUUUUUGCGUUGAAUGUGAAACUUUCUGCGAUUUCUCUUCUGGUUUCGAAGUUAGUUUGUAAGUAAAGUUUCGAAUUCUUUUCGUUUACGAAUUCUUUCAAAUAUUAAAGUUUUGAACAAUUUUUCUUUCAUUUCGCUUGGAUAAAACAAUUUUUUUAAAUUUACAACUUUAUAAAGCGGGGAAGAAUUUAUCGACAGAGGGAAAAAAAAUUAUUCGUCAAGCAAGAUAAAGUUUUCUAUCAUAAUUUAUCUAUUCGAUAAAGGAAAGAAACAAAGAGAAACUCCCUCGAUAUGCCAAAGUCCAAAAUAGUGAAACUAAAAGUGUCAUUAACUUCUUUCCAAGUUAAUUACUCUUCAAAUAUAGACCAAGCUUUCAAAUUUGCCUAAUCCGAGUAUCUUUGUUCUCUUUUCUUUAUUUUUUUUUUUUUCAAGCAAAAAAUAUAUCUUGAUUAAGCAGCCUUGAUCCGCAACCAACGACCCAGUUCCAUCCAGUGAGCCGAGUUUAAUCCUUUCUAUUAGUUCACGAGGAAACGCAACACUGUUUUACUACGAUUAAUCGUUCGAGAAGAUCUUGUUACACCGAUUGACGAAAGGCUUUGAUAAUCGAUACCCGUUUCAAUUAUUUAAGCGGCCGCAACUGGAAAUAGAAAGGAAAUAACAACGUGGAACGAGAAUCCACUUUCACCUACUUUUCCUCUAUUUUCGUGUUUUCACGCAUCGAUACUAUUACCACGGAUUCAUCAUUCGUGUUUCUCAUUGGCCGUUUCCACUCGCUCGUUCCAUUAACGGCAAGAUGAUUAAUAUCCUUUCAUGGUGUAUUUUAAAAGUCGACUUCCCAUUACGUAUUUAUCAAUCUUGAAUACGGCAAUUUUUAAUAUGCAGAGUGGGUUGUGUAACACGAAUUAUCCGAAUUAUUUUUCAGAUAAUAAGAUCACGUUAUAUUUUUAAUAACAUAAUUAUUCUAUCUUUCGAUUAAUUAUUAUUAUUAUAAUUUAUGUAUUAUAAUACAAAUAUAUAUAUUGUACAAUUUUGGGUUAUUUCGAUAAGUAUCGGUGAAAGUAUGAGAAAGUAAUUAAAUUAAAAGAGUAAUUAAGUAAAAGAAAAUUUCACUUUAUGAUCUUUAUCUAUCUGGAAAAAUAUAUUUUUAGAGACGGAAGGAUUAAAAGAUUAAUUAUCGUGGUGGCGUCAAUUGUUUUCUAUUAAUUUGUAAAUUUUUUCAACUUAAUCGAAUAAAUGACUCACAAAAGAUAA